CCUGUUUUUUGGUUCUUCCAGGGUGUCUGGGUACUAACUCUGCUACGCAGUGCAUUAGCUGUUUCCCUGCAAAGUACAAUACCACAACAUAACAUAAUAAAUAAACAAAGAUGAGCAAAUGCACAUGGCAUUGCGCAGCUACUGAGAAUGAAAAUAACAGUUGGCCAACAUUGUAUGUAGUAUAUCUAUCAUCAAAAUGGGCUAAUGGCAAAGUGAAAAGCUGGUAAAAGAGAACGGAGGGACAAGAAAUAAAAGAAACGGAAAGAGUAUCAGUACAGACAAACAUGUACAGCAACCGCGCACAGCUGGGUUUUGCGCCUGUCUUGGGUCCUCCAAAGAUAAUCGGAGCCUCUCAUUUUGUUUAACAUGUUUAAUAUAUGGUCACUACAAAAAAUCAUCUCAACCGAAUGUCAGUAAGGGCACUUACAAAACAUCCAAUUUCGCUUUAAAAUUUAGGACAUUUUGAACAAAAUGAGCGCCUCUGGUCAUUUUUGUAGGAAUCGAGAUGGGCGCAAAACCCUGCUGUGCUCGGCUGCUGUGCAUGUUUGUCUAUACCUGUAGCAGCUCUACGAAAGAAAUGUACAAACAGGGCUCCACAGGUUGCAAGGAGGAGGCUGGAGCCGAGCAUUUCAAGAUCAUAUUUUCAUGUCCUAAAUAGACUGAAUACAUA
Long non-coding RNA from Rhododendron vialii, 670 nucleotides. RefSeq lists it as uncharacterized. The record is from RefSeq and is a predicted model, not a curated record. The transcript is spliced from 2 exons. Lineage: Eukaryota; Viridiplantae; Streptophyta; Magnoliopsida; Ericales; Ericaceae.